ACGAACCGUCCAAACGUUAUUCGGAAUCACUGGGCUUAAAGGGUGCGUAGGCGGCCCUGCAAGUUGGGUGUGAAAGCCCACGGCUCAACCGUGGAAUUGCGCCCAAAACUGCAGGACUUGAGGGAGACAGAGGUGAGCGGAACUUAUGGUGGAGCGGUGAAAUGCGUUGAUAUCAUAAGGAACACCGGUGGCGAAGGCGGCUCACUGGGUCUCUUCUGACGCUGAGGCACGAAAGCUAGGGUAGCGAACAGG
Molecule: ribosomal RNA, 252 nt
Filed under: uncultured bacterium
Lineage: Bacteria
Description: partial 16S ribosomal RNA
Rfam family: Bacterial small subunit ribosomal RNA
Source: RNAcentral